This 75-nucleotide transfer RNA is filed under the name Chloroflexota bacterium. RNAcentral's name for it is "Chloroflexi bacterium (freshwater metagenome) tRNA-Lys". It matches the Rfam family "tRNA". From Rfam's summary of the family: Transfer RNA (tRNA) molecules are approximately 80 nucleotides in length. Their secondary structure includes four short double-helical elements and three loops (D, anti-codon, and T loops). The record is from RNAcentral. Lineage: Bacteria; Bacillati; Chloroflexota.
GGGCCGCUAGCUCAACGGUAGAGCAAGUGACUCUUAAUCACUAGGUUACAGGUUCGAAACCUGUGCGGCUCACCA